RNAcentral lists this ribosomal RNA (504 nucleotides) under uncultured bacterium. RNAcentral describes it as "partial 16S ribosomal RNA". It matches the Rfam family "Bacterial small subunit ribosomal RNA", at positions 29 to 507 of the family's 1533-position model. The record is from RNAcentral.
ACGAACGCUGGCGGCGUGCCUAAUACAUGCAAGUAGAACGCACAGUUUAUACCGUAGCUUGCUACACCAUAGACUGUGAGUUGCGAACGGGUGAGUAACGCGUAGGUAACCUGCCUGGUAGCGGGGGAUAACUAUUGGAAACGAUAGCUAAUACCGCAUAAUAUUAAUUAUUGCAUGAUAAUUAAUUGAAAGGUGCAAUUGCACCACUACCAGAUGGACCUGCGUUGUAUUAGCUAGUAGGUGAGGUAACGGCUCACCUAGGCGACGAUACAUAGCCGACCGGAGAGGGUGAUCGGCCACACUGGGACUGAGACACGGCCCAGACUCCUACGGGAGGCAGCAGUAGGGAAUCUUCGGCAAUGGACGAAAGUCUGACCGAGCAACGCCGCGUGAGUGAAGAAGGUUUUCGGAUCGUAAAGCUCUGUUGUAAGAGAAGAACGGGUGUGAGAGUGGAAAGUUCACACUGUGACGGUAUCUUACCAGAAAGGGACGGCUAACUACGUG